UCAACACCCCUCAAGCAAGUUUUGCUUGGAUCAUUUGGAGUAUGCAGGUGUCUUCUGACCCCGCAGCUCAGAAAGCCAUCGGCAGUGUCCACUUUGUCUUGACGCAGAUAAUACUAACAUUAUCAUCUGAACGAGUCAGUGGAAGUAUUUGCCAGAAACUGAAAUAUUUUCUUUAUGA
This 178-nucleotide unclassified non-coding RNA is filed under the name uncultured Pezizaceae. RNAcentral's name for it is "sequence contains ITS2". The record is from RNAcentral. Lineage: Eukaryota; Fungi; Ascomycota; Pezizomycetes; Pezizales; Pezizaceae.